ACAUGAUCUGAGUUCAGACCGGUCGCCUGUUUAUCAAAAACAUCGCCUCUUGCCCCAUUUUUGUAUAAGAGGUCCCGCCUGCCCUGUGAUUUUUUUAACGGCCGCGGUAUCUUGACCGUGCGAAGGUAGCGUAAUCACUUGUCUUUUAAUUGAAGACCCGUAUGAAAGGCAUCACGAGAGUUUAUCUGUCUCUAUUUUCUAAUCAAUGAAAUUGAUCCUCUCGUGCAGAAGCGAGAAUAAAAACAUAAGACGAGAAGACCCUAUGGAGCUUUAAACACCUAAGUUAUUAUUAAAACACCAAACCUCCCCUAUGGGGAUAAACAAUAAAUUAAUUUUUUAACUUAACUUGUUUUUGGUUGGGGCGACCAAGGGGUAAAACAAAACUCCCUUAUCGAAUGUGUGAAACAUCACUUAAAAAUUAGAACCACACAUCUAAUUAAUAGAAAAUCUAACGAACAAUGACCCAGGAAAUAUAUUAUCCUGAUCAAUGAACCAAGUUACCCUAGGGAUAACAGCGCAAUCCUUUCUUAGAGUCCCCAUCGCCGAAAGGGUUUACGACCUCGAUGUUGGAUCAGGACAUCCUAAUGGUGCAGCCGCUAUUAAGGGUUCGUUUGUUCAACGAUUAACAGUCCUACAUGAUCUGAGUUCAGACCGG
This 655-nucleotide ribosomal RNA is filed under the name Mobula mobular (devil fish). RNAcentral's name for it is "partial large subunit ribosomal RNA". It matches the Rfam family "Bacterial large subunit ribosomal RNA", at positions 1766 to 2619 of the family's 2925-position model. The record is from RNAcentral. Lineage: Eukaryota; Metazoa; Chordata; Chondrichthyes; Myliobatiformes; Myliobatidae.